This 28-nucleotide small RNA is filed under the name Bombyx mori (domestic silkworm). RNAcentral describes it as "ovarian small RNA-18369". The record is from RNAcentral. Lineage: Eukaryota; Metazoa; Arthropoda; Insecta; Lepidoptera; Bombycidae.
UAAAGGUCAAAAAACAAUUUUGGUUAAA